AAAAUACCUUAUUUAAUAAUUCUAUAAAUUUCGCCGAAUUUUUUUUUCGCUUUGUUCCUCCAUUUUAAAAACAAAUCCCCUCAAACUAUACUUAUAAACACAUAUAUAUCCAACCCACAAAAUCAAGGAACGGACUUGAAACAAAAUGGCUGCUAGCGUGUGCGUCUCGUAUUUAUCUGUCCGUUAAAAAAGUAUUAAAAACCUAAAAAAGUGAUCGAAGCUUUAAAACCCAAACAGGUGUGGUGAAUUAAUAUGGAAGUCAGGCAAUGUCAACUGUGAUUCAUAAAAAAAAAGCCAUACCACGUUUAGAAUAAUAAAUUCCCACCUUGGGUUAACUUUCUUGUCCGUGACAUACAAGUGUGUUCUUAUCCUCCAGCUGAAGUAUUUUAUUUAAUAAUUAUUUAAAAACAUUUUAGUGAGUGCUUAAAAAAUUAAUCAAGUGUCAAAAAAUUCCUU
Long non-coding RNA from Cotesia glomerata, 456 nucleotides. RefSeq lists it as uncharacterized. NCBI's taxonomy places the organism in Eukaryota, Metazoa, Arthropoda, Insecta, Hymenoptera, Braconidae. The record is from RefSeq and is a predicted model, not a curated record. The transcript has 2 exons.